Molecule: ribosomal RNA, 119 nt
Filed under: Pteropus alecto (black flying fox)
Lineage: Eukaryota; Metazoa; Chordata; Mammalia; Chiroptera; Pteropodidae
Source: RNAcentral
GUCUACAGCCAUGCCACCCUGAACAUGCCCGAUCUCAUUUGAUCUUGGAAGCUAAGUGGUGUCGGGCCUGGUUACUACUUGGAUGGGAGACCACCUAGGAAGACCAGGUACCGUAGGUG